AAACUGAAGAGUUUGAUCCUGGCUCAGAUUGAACGCUGGCGGCAUGCCUUACACAUGCAAGUCGAACGGCAGCACGGGUGCUUGCACCUGGUGGCGAGUGGCGAACGGGUGAGUAAUACAUCGGAACAUGUCCUGUAGUGGGGGAUAGCCCGGCGAAAGCCGGAUUAAUACCGCAUACGAUCUACGGAUGAAAGCGGGGGACCUUCGGGCCUCGCGCUAUAGGGUUGGCCGAUGGCUGAUUAGCUAGUUGGUGGGGUAAAGGCCUACCAAGGCGACGAUCAGUAGCUGGUCUGAGAGGACGACCAGCCACACUGGGACUGAGACACGGCCCAGACUCCUACGGGAGGCAGCAGUGGGGAAUUUUGGACAAUGGGCGAAAGCCUGAUCCAGCAAUGCCGCGUGUGUGAAGAAGGCCUUCGGGUUGUAAAGCACUUUUGUCCGGAAAGAAAUCCUUGGCUCUAAUACAG
This 467-nucleotide ribosomal RNA is filed under the name Burkholderia cepacia. RNAcentral's name for it is "bacterial SSU rRNA". It matches the Rfam family "Bacterial small subunit ribosomal RNA", at positions 1 to 467 of the family's 1533-position model. RNAcentral also lists the same sequence under 2 other names. Lineage: Bacteria; Pseudomonadati; Pseudomonadota; Betaproteobacteria; Burkholderiales; Burkholderiaceae. The record is from RNAcentral.